RNAcentral lists this ribosomal RNA (406 nucleotides) under uncultured bacterium. RNAcentral's name for it is "partial 16S ribosomal RNA". It matches the Rfam family "Bacterial small subunit ribosomal RNA", at positions 30 to 526 of the family's 1533-position model. The record is from RNAcentral.
AUUGAACGCUGGCGGCAGGCCUAACACAUGCAAGUCGCACGAGUGGCGGACGGGUGAGUAAUUUCUGGGAAACUGCCUGCUGGAGGGGGAUCACUACUGGAAACGGUAGCUAAUACCGCAUACCAUCAGAUGUUCCCAGAUGGGAUUAGCUUGUUGGUGGGGUAACGGCUCACCAAGGCGACGAUCCCUAGCUGGUCUGAGAGGAGGACCAGCCACCAUGGAACUUGGACACGGGCCAGACGCAUACGGGAGCCAGCAGUGGGGAAUAUUGCACAAUGGGCGCAAGCCUGAUGCAGCCAUGCCGCGUGUAUGAAGAAGGCCUUCGGGUUGUAAAGUACUUUCAGCGGGGAGGCGUUACCCGCAGAAGAAGCACCGGCUAACUCCGUGCCAGCAGCCGCGGUAAUAC